Long non-coding RNA from Eptesicus fuscus (big brown bat), 702 nucleotides. RefSeq lists it as uncharacterized. The record is from RefSeq and is a predicted model, not a curated record. NCBI's taxonomy places the organism in Eukaryota, Metazoa, Chordata, Mammalia, Chiroptera, Vespertilionidae. The transcript is spliced from 6 exons.
UCUACCAGAAUAGGGUAGAAAAUAGGACCGUACAACCUCUUAUGAAAGUCUUCUCCUGAUCGUUUCUGAACUCACAGGAACAACGUUGAGAUGUGGAGGGAAAAGGGAUCCAACAUUUCUUCCGGGGAUUAAAAUCUCCAGAACUGGAACCCUUGGCUGAGGUGCAUCGACUUUUUGCUUCCCUCUGGUGGCGCAGAUCAGUGUUCUGAUAUGGAGGAAGCUGGGAGAUGUUACCUUAAAAGUAAGGUUAAUGGACACUCUCUAGGACAGGUGCCUGAAAGUGGACUUGGUAGAGCAAACGUUCAUGAAGUCAGGUUUCUAGCAGCCCCUGGCCACCAGCUCAACUCACCCUGAGGAGGCACCGAGGACUUCGAGGACUUCGCUGGAGGAGCAGACACGCGCAGAGGUCAGUCAUGUGAAGACCGAGGGGGAAGACAGCCAUCUAUAAGCCAAGGAGAGAAGCCUCAAAAGAAACCAGCCCUGCUGACACCUGACCUCAGACUUCCGGCUCUCGGACUGAGGAAAUAAACGUGGGCGCUAUGCUGGAUCUCGGAGGGCUCACUAGGAAACCCCGGAACCUGGACUUGCGCAGCAGCUUGGGGAGAUGGCUCCCUGAAAGUCACCUGAAACUUCUCGCAGGUAAAGAAGACCAUCCGCCCGACAGAAAGGCCUGAGGGGCUGGCUUUAGCUUCUAUUAGUGAG